UUCUUCUUCUUUUUGCAUACACAUUCUAUCUGGCUAGAAUCAUUAGCACAGACUUAACAAUAACGGUUCAUGUAUAAACCGAACAUACAUGUAUUAAACAGUUUAAUCACAGAACAGUUCAUCUCAUAGAAACACCGAAGUGUUCAAACUAUGGCACAAAGCCUCAUACAUACUACCACCUUGUACAACUAUCACACAUUUGCACAUAGACGAG
This 214-nucleotide long non-coding RNA is filed under the name Panax ginseng (ginseng). Its description in RNAcentral is "long non-coding RNA (PGIN_LNC002609)". The record is from RNAcentral. Lineage: Eukaryota; Viridiplantae; Streptophyta; Magnoliopsida; Apiales; Araliaceae.